GAUACCAUUCCCAAAGUUAAGAACAUGUGUCUUAGGCCAUGUGCAGUGGUUCACACCUGUAAUCCCAGCACUUUGAGAGGCCGAAGAGGGCAGAUCACCUGAGGUCAGGAGUUCGAGACCAGCCUGGCCAACAUGGUGAAACCCUGUCUCUACAAAAAAAUUAGCCAGGUGUCAUGGCACAUGCUUGUAAUUCCAGCUGCUUGGGAGGCUGAGGCAGGAGAAUCGCUUGAACCCAGGAGGCAGAGGUUGCGGUCAGCCGAGAUCGUGCCAUUGCACUCCAGCCUGGGCAACAAAAGUGAAACUCCGUCUCAAAAAACAAAAAAAAAGAAAGGAAAAAGAAUAUAUGAAUAUAUGUCUCAGGCCAGAUGCAGUGGAUCAUACCUGUAAUCUCAGCACUUUGGGAGGCUGAGGCAGGCGGAUCACUUGAGGAAAGAACAAGACCACAGUGAGGUGGAUGGAUGGAUAUACAGAUAGAUAGAGCACAUGAGAGUGAGCGACAGGAGAUGUGGGAGGGGGUAGCAAAUGUAGUAAAAUGGUAA
This 539-nucleotide long non-coding RNA is filed under the name Homo sapiens (human). RNAcentral describes it as "HSALNT0029676". The record is from RNAcentral. Lineage: Eukaryota; Metazoa; Chordata; Mammalia; Primates; Hominidae.